GCUGAGCACAGUGACAUGCACCUGGAGUCGCAGCUACUCAGGAGGCUGAGGCGAGAGGAUCAUUUGAGCCCAGGAGUUCUGGGCUGUAGUGUGCUAUGCUGGUCAGGUGUCUGCACUAAGUUCAACAACGAUAUGGUGACCUCCCAGGAGUAGGGGACCACUAGGUUGCCUAAGGAGAGGUGAACCAGCCCAGGUCAGAAGCAAAGCAGGUCAGAACUCCCAUGAUGAUUGUGCCUGUGAGUAGCCACUGCACUCUAGCCUGGUUGACAUAGGGAGACCCUGCCUCU
This 287-nucleotide signal recognition particle RNA is filed under the name Prolemur simus (greater bamboo lemur). RNAcentral's name for it is "Metazoan signal recognition particle RNA (ENSPSMG00000014850.1)". It matches the Rfam family "Metazoan signal recognition particle RNA". Rfam says of the family: The signal recognition particle (SRP) is a universally conserved ribonucleoprotein. It is involved in the co-translational targeting of proteins to membranes. Lineage: Eukaryota; Metazoa; Chordata; Mammalia; Primates; Lemuridae. The record is from RNAcentral.